AUGAUUGAAAGGAACAGAAGAACAGCGAAAUAUUUUUGGUGUUGUAUCAAGUGCAGGACAAUUUUGCCCCUGAAUACAUAAAUAAUAAGGACAAAAACGAAAAAAAAAAAAAAAAAAAAAACUUGUUUGUUUUGUUGUUGUUAAUCACGAUGAUGUUGCUGAUCGUUGGCUGUCUUCUUGCUUCGUCGAUGGCAGAUAACGAGGGAGGGGAUGAAACAGAAUGUAGGGCGACGUGUUUUUGAAUGGCUUUUCUCGGUUCAUCAAAUAGAAAUCAAGGACCGAAUCCUUUAUUUUUUUUUGGACCGAGUCCUUAUGUCUAUAAUUCCUAUCAAACAUGCUAAUUGGUAUUUUAUAGACCCAAUCCCUCUUUGGACCCAAUUAGAUACCUUAUCAAACGACCCCUAAUAUAAAUAAGACAAAAUUAAAUAUAUGGUUUUUGUUAAAAAAAAAAUUAAUGGUCUAUCAGCCGUUCAAUUUUGAAUAAAUAAGACAAAAUUAAAUAUGUGGUUUUAACGAUAAUGACUUAAAAGGGUAAUAUAUUUUUUGAAUUUUGUACACAUUUAGUCCUUAAUAUUUUUGUACAUAUUUAGUCUUUAACAUUUUUUUUGUUUCAAUUAAGUUCUUUUUUUAUACUCAUUCAGUACUUAUAAAUGAUUUCUUAAUAUUUUUAUUAUGACAUCUUACAUGAGACAAUUACUGAUGAGUUGUUUGGGGUUGUUGAUGUUUAUGUCCAACGUGAUUUCGACUGUUUGGUUGCGUAUGUCUUGUGGUUUGGCUUGAUUCUUAUAUUCUGAAUGUCGUAACUUCUUCAUACGAUAACAUAUUUAAGGAUCUUUAUAUCCGCAUUUUCAUUUUUUCAUUAAGAUUAUUCCCGUUAAAAUGUAAUAUAUUUUUACUUACGAUUUUAUAAAAAAAACAUCCAUACAUGCAUUCAUAAAAAAAACGUAUGGACAUGGGCAAACGCAGGAAUACAUUGUUGGUAUUGCCGAGAUGAAAUAGGUGUUGCUAAUACAUGAAAAAUAACUAUAAACGAAAAAAAUUGAAAUUCCGAGAUCAUAUGGAUAUAAAGAUCGUUCGCGUGGAUAUAAAGAUCGUUCGCGUGGAUAUAAAGAUCGUUAAAAUCCGAGAUCGUAUGAAGAAGUUAUGACAUUCAAAACGCAUGACCUAAGCAACCAAGUAGUUGAGAUCGCGAUGGACGUAAGCAUCAAAAUGUCCAAACACUUCAAUAAUGAAUUUCCCACGUAAGAUUUCAUGAGAAAAAACCAAAGAAAUAAUUCAUAAGUAUUUAAUGAGUACAAAAACAAAAAUGCCUUAUUUUGUAAAAAAUUAUAUAUUAAGGACUAAAUGUGUACAAAAAUAUUAAGGAAUAAAUGUGUACAAAGUGAGAAAUAUAUUACCCUAUUAAGUCAUUUUUACCGGCUAACCUGAUUUAGCCGGUUAUAAGGAUUGAAUGUGUACAGUUUAACAAGUUGAAAGGGUAAAUAUGAAUGAAAAAAAAAUCAGUGACUAAAUGUGUACAAAUCAAAAAAUAUGUUACCCUUUUAAGUCAUUAUCCCUGGUUUCAAUUCAUAUCCAAUCUUAAAUGACAGAAUAUACUUUUAAAUAACUUUUUUUUUUAAAUUUCUUUUCAUUAUGUUCUUAUUAUUUUAUAUAAAAAACAAAAAAAAAUCCCACCACUCCAUUCCUCAUCCACCACAAUUAAUCUUUUUCAUUGAGUUCAAUUUGGGACAUAAGGAUUUUAAAAGAAAAAACUUUGUUUGGCUUGAAAAAACUUUGUUUGGCUUCCUUACAUGAAGGGAGAGGCAUGGGCGACAUGAUGUUGAGAAUCGCAACUCUGCACUCAUCAUUGGCGUUGGGAAGAGAAUUUGUCGAUGGGUUGAAAGGAGAUGAGAGAAGUUGUGGAGGAGAUUAUCAACAGUAGAAGGUGAAUGUAGAUUCACCGAUGAUGUUGGAGGGUUUUCUGAUGAAGGUUGUAAUUGGGAUGAGACAUAUAAAUGAAUGGGGGAAGGGAAAAGGAGUGGGGUAUGGGUUUUUUUUUUUGAAAAUAUUAAAAUAGAUAAUAAAGAAGGAAAAAACAAAUUAUAAGAGCAUAAUAGCAUUUUUGAAGUUGAUAGGGACUAAAAUCACUAAAAUAUCAAAAAAUAGACCACUGAUAUACUACUAAACGUUUUUUUUUUUUUGACAAAAGCCACAUAUUUUUUACAUCCACAUGAAACAUUUUUUUUUGCAAUUUUUCUAUAAAUAAUCAAGGAUGUUCUUGAGUUGGUGGGAAAUGAAAUGGAAUACAGGAAUUUAAUAAGUUAGCUUAAUUUUCGAGUUUUUUUUAUUAAAUUGUCAUGUUUGAGAAGCGAAAAAGUCGUUUAUAAGCCAACUUUAUAAAAAACUUAGUUUUCAAUAUUUUUUUUUAAUUUUCCAUAUAUACCCUUAAUUAAUUAUGAAAAAACAUAUUUUUUUUUAUAUGUCAUUUGAUUUCAUUAUAUUUUUUCAGCUAGUAUGUCGGUUAGUUUUUAUCAAAUGUUAUUUUGUUAGCCAACUUAUAAGUUAUCAACAAAAUUUUCAGCUAACAAUUAUUUUGCCAGCUACUACAUCAAAUAUUAAACAUCUUAAUGAGGUAAGUAUCAUAACCCCACCAAAUCAUGUAAUCCCACUUAUUUACUCUAAAUCCUGUCUUGUAAUAUAAUAAAGUGAAUGUAAUGCUUUUUAAAUUCACAUAUAUUGUUUAUGUCACACUCGAACUUUCAAAAACAAAUACAAAUAUCUCAAAACACAAAAGAUACAUCAAUAAACAAAUCAUCACCAUCAACUUAACAAAUAAUGAUACAACGGUAACUUAAAAAUACUUAAAAAUUACAAUUUAAAUUUUCUAAAAGUUAUAACAAAUGGUAGGGGUGACAAAUCGGGCCAUCGUGUCGUGUUUUUGUCUGACACGACAUGACAGGAUAAGAUUUUAUAUAACACGAACACGACACGACACGNUCAUUAUCCCUGGUUUCAAUUCAUAUCCAAUCUUAAAUGACAGAAUAUACUUUUAAAUAACUUUUUUUUUUAAAUUUCUUUUCAUUAUGUUCUUAUUAUUUUAUAUAAAAAACAAAAAAAAAUCCCACCACUCCAUUCCUCAUCCACCACAAUUAAUCUUUUUCAUUGAGUUCAAUUUGGGACAUAAGGAUUUUAAAAGAAAAAACUUUGUUUGGCUUGAAAAAACUUUGUUUGGCUUCCUUACAUGAAGGGAGAGGCAUGGGCGACAUGAUGUUGAGAAUCGCAACUCUGCACUCAUCAUUGGCGUUGGGAAGAGAAUUUGUCGAUGGGUUGAAAGGAGAUGAGAGAAGUUGUGGAGGAGAUUAUCAACAGUAGAAGGUGAAUGUAGAUUCACC
Molecule: long non-coding RNA, 3371 nt
Filed under: Lactuca sativa (garden lettuce)
Lineage: Eukaryota; Viridiplantae; Streptophyta; Magnoliopsida; Asterales; Asteraceae
Description: long non-coding RNA (LSAT_LNC009342)
Source: RNAcentral